RNAcentral lists this ribosomal RNA (490 nucleotides) under uncultured bacterium. RNAcentral's name for it is "partial 16S ribosomal RNA". It matches the Rfam family "Bacterial small subunit ribosomal RNA", at positions 29 to 507 of the family's 1533-position model. The record is from RNAcentral.
AGUGAACGCUGGCGGUAGGCCUAACACAUGCAAGUCGAACGGCAGCACAGGAGAGCUUGCUCUCUAGGUGGCGAGUGGCGGACGGGUGAGGAAUACAUCGGAAUCUGCCCAGUCGUGGGGGAUAACGUAGGGAAACUUACGCUAAUACCGCAUACGACCUUCGGGUGAAAGAGGGGGAUCGCAAGACCUCUCGCGAUUGGAUGAGCCGAUGUCGGAUUAGCUAGUUAGCGGGGUAAUGGCCCACCAAGGCGACGAUCCGUAGCUGGUCUGGGAGGAUGAUCAGCCACACUGGAACUGAGACACGGUCCAGACUCCUACGGGAGGCAGCAGUGGGGAAUAUUGGACAAUGGGCGCAAGCCUGAUCCAGCCAUACCGCGUGGGUGAAGAAGGCCUUCGGGUUGUAAAGCCCUUUUGUUGGGAAAGAAAUCUUUCAGGCUAAUACCCUGGGAGGAUGACGGUACCCAAAGAAUAAGCACCGGCUAACUUCGUG